Molecule: ribosomal RNA, 445 nt
Filed under: uncultured bacterium
Lineage: Bacteria
Description: bacterial SSU rRNA
Rfam family: Bacterial small subunit ribosomal RNA
Source: RNAcentral
GUAAGGAAUAUUGGUCAAUGGGCGCAAGCCUGAACCAGCCAUCCUGCGUGCAGGAAGAAGGCCCUAUGGGUUGUAAACUGCUUUUGUCAGGGAAUAAACCUGUGGAUUUAUCCGCAGCUGAAGGUACCUGAAGAAUAAGCACCGGCUAACUCCGUGCCAGCAGCCGCGGUAAUACGGAGGGUGCAAGCGUUAUCCGGAAUUACUGGGUUUAAAGGGUGCGUAGGCGGCCCUGUAAGUCAGGAGUGAAAGUUUGCGGCUUAACCGUAAAAUUGCUUUUGAUACUGCAGGGCUAGAAUCAGGAUGAGGUCAGCGGAAUGUGGCAUGUAGCGGUGAAAUGCAUAGAUAUGCCAUAGAACACCAAUUGCGAAGGCAGCUGGCUAGACCUGCAUUGACGCUGAGGCACGAAAGCGUGGGGAGCGAACAGGAUUAGAAACCCGUGUAGUCC